Molecule: long non-coding RNA, 2182 nt
Organism: Panthera uncia (snow leopard)
Lineage: Eukaryota; Metazoa; Chordata; Mammalia; Carnivora; Felidae
Exons: 3
Source: RefSeq, a predicted model, not a curated record
AAAAGAUCUUGGCAAACACUAAGGAACUGCGCAGGCAAGCAGGACGGAAGGCCACUCCCACCCGCCCCGCCCCCAUCAAAAGUGACUGAACUUUGCCAGGCAGAAAAUGGCAAAAUCGAACAAAAGCAAACCAAAUCGGCUCCUUCCGGGGGCACAGCCUGUCCAAAAGCAGCUCUUGCACUUGGGAGCCCUGUCUGGGUAAAGAGCCCCCUCUCACAAGGGGCUGGAGCACAGAAUGUUCCCACCAGCAAGGCUACGAUGCCUGUGCCAGGGAGAAAUGAAGGAGCAUCCACUCGAACCCUGCCCCUCUGGGAACCAUACUGGAGGGUCUUCUGUCGUCCCAUCCCUUUCGAAGCAGAACUCUGUCCUGCCAGUAAAGAAAAACCUGAGCUCGGGGUUGGGUGUUCCAUGAGUUUCUCCGGGUACUCUUCCUGAAGCCACAGACGCGGGACUCCAGGCCCAGGACUCCUCUCCAUCAAGGUCCCGUCCCUCCAGACAAGGUCUCGUUUCCAGACCAAGGAUACAAGUCUCAAUGUUGGCUCCCACGAUGUAGCCAUUGACAUCAAAGUUAAUGCGAAUGAAUUUGCCCUAAGGAGAGACAGAUAAAGAGAAUCAGAAGCCCGGUCCUCCAGUUUCUAGCUCCUGCGGUAUAGCCCGAAGAGGGAAAAUCAAGAGACCGUGCCCAUGUCGGAGGCCAGGGGCCCGUGCAGUGCACUGCAUGGGUACUCAGGACUCAGCGCUGUGCUGCUUAAAGCCUGGGCCAGGACAAGAUCCAGAGAUGCCCAAGUUCAUCCGCUGAGGCGCAGGAGUGCUCCUCGGUCCUCCAUCUGGCUGUUGGCUACAGCAGGACAAGGAGCGGGACCGGCAGGUAACUCCCCACUGUCCCUCCUUUCCCCCCAGUUCUCUGCCACCUGGGCUGAAGCAGCCACGUGUGCAGGUCCCCACCAGCUGGAGCUCACCCCAGCCUACUCCCCGCCACAGGCCGGGAGGCAACCAGGUCCGAAGCUGCCUCACUUUCUGAGGUGAGAGCGGCAGCUGGAGGGCAACGUGUGCCAAAGCCGUGGGUGGGAGCCUGAGCCCCGCGAGCUGGGCAUGGCCGGCCACUACUCACAAAUCGGGAGGAGUUGUCGUUCUUCACAGUCUUGGCGUUCCCGAAGGCCUCCAGGAUGGGGUUGGCCUGCAGCAGCUGUCGCUCCAACUCGCCCUGGAAAGGAACCCGGGGAUGAGGUGAAGGCCAGGCAGUGGCUCGGGUCGUCGAACCUGCUCCGCCAGGCAGGGGGGCCGGUGGCAGAGCUGUGCCUACACGCCCAGCGUGCCAGGAACAGAGGGCGUUCCGGCCACGCCAGCCGCAGCCUGGCCCCUGUGUCACUCGGGAGCGACCUUCCCGCCGGGUGUUGAACUUACGUCGCCGGACUGACCGAUCAGCACCCCCAGGAAGGGAAGGACAAGGCGAGAAGGAAUCAGCUCCAUAAAAGACACCAGCUCACUUCAUCCGUGUCCUGAUAGACACGGCACUUUCCCUGCUGGACCGUGUCCCGCCACCUACCCACCCCCACAGACGUGCUUCCAGAGUGUCCAGCGCGUGAGCCGGGGAUCAGUGAGGCCCACCACGGGUUCUAAACUGUUUAUCGACAACACCAAUAAACUCUACUUGUGGUCCCAAGCCACACAUGUGGCUGACACACCCUAAGCCUCCCUAUCCCCGGAUCCUCAGGAUAGGCAAAACAGGGUGGCCCCGAGGUCAUCAGGCAAAGCAGCCGCCAACUCGCGUCUUCUCCGACAGGUGUCAGUCACCGCCCUGUCCCCCAGCCCUGCGUGGGGCUCUACCCCGCCAGCCUAGAUCAGUUUUGGAAGCAGCCAUCACCUUCCCAGCAGGCCAGGCAGUAACGGACUCUGGCUGCGGAAAAUUCGGCCCUUAAUACCUGGGAUCUCUCUAGGGGGAAAGAACAUCACACAGGGGCCAGGCCGGCUUUUGUAUUUAUUAGCAAGGCUGGACUCCGGCCAGGAUUUUACGGGAACGGCUGCCUGUGAAUGAUGAAAAGGAAAACUGGAAGUAGCAGGAGCUCCCGGGAGAGUCGUGAGGUUCAGCCUUCCAGGCGCACCUGCUGCUGACGAGACCCGUCUGCAGAGCACUGAGCCAGGGGCUGGAAGGGGCCGGGGCAGACUCUCCUGCUCCAGCAGC